GACGAACGCUGGCGGCGUGCCUAAUACAUGCAAGUAGAACGCUGAAGGAGGAGCUUGCUUCUCUGGAUGAGUUGCGAACGGGUGAGUAACGCGUAGGUAACCUGCCUGGUAGCGGGGGAUAACUCUUGGAAACGAUAGCUAAUACCGCAUAAGAGUAGAUGUUGCAUGACAUUUGCUUAAAAGGUGCAAUUUCAUCACUACCAGAUGGACCUGCGUUGUAUUAGCUGGUUGGUGGGGUAACGGCUCACCAAGGCGACGAUACAUCGCCGACCUGAGAGGGUGAUCGGCCACACUGGGACUGAGACACGGCCCAGACUCCUACGGGAGGCAGCAGGAGGGAAACUUCGGCAAUGGACGGAAGUCUGAACGAGCAACGCCGCGUGAGGGAAGAAGGGUUUCGGAUCGUAAAGAUCUGUUGUAAGAGAAGAACGAGUGUGAGAGUGGAAAGUUCACACUGUGACGGUAUCUGACCAGAAAGGGACGGCUAACUACGUG
This 495-nucleotide ribosomal RNA is filed under the name uncultured bacterium. Its description in RNAcentral is "partial 16S ribosomal RNA". It matches the Rfam family "Bacterial small subunit ribosomal RNA", at positions 28 to 507 of the family's 1533-position model. The record is from RNAcentral.